RNAcentral lists this ribosomal RNA (645 nucleotides) under fungal sp. ARIZ B464cA. RNAcentral describes it as "eukaryotic LSU rRNA". The stretch from base 259 to 412 matches the Rfam family "5.8S ribosomal RNA". Lineage: Eukaryota; Fungi. The record is from RNAcentral. RNAcentral also lists the same sequence under 1 other name.
UGGAAGUAAAAAGUCGUAACAAGGUCUCCGUUGGUGAACCAGCGGAGGGAUCAUUACCGAGUUUACAACUCCCAAACCCAAUGUGAACGUUAYCAAACUGUUGCCUCGGCGGGAUCUCUGCCCCGGGUGCGUCGCAGCCCCGGACCAAGGCGCCCGCCGGAGGACCAACCUAAAACUCUUAUUGUAUACCCCCUCGCGGGUUUUUUUAUAAUCUGAGCCUUCUCGGCGCCUCUCGUAGGCGUUUCGAAAAUGAAUCAAAACUUUCAACAACGGAUCUCUUGGUUCUGGCAUCGAUGAAGAACGCAGCGAAAUGCGAUAAGUAAUGUGAAUUGCAGAAUUCAGUGAAUCAUCGAAUCUUUGAACGCACAUUGCGCCCGCCAGUAUUCUGGCGGGCAUGCCUGUCCGAGCGUCAUUUCAACCCUCGAACCCCUCCGGGGGGUCGGCGUUGGGGAUCGGCCCUCCCUUAGCGGGUGGCCGUCUCCGAAAUACAGUGGCGGUCUCGCCGCAGCCUCUCCUGCGCAGUAGUUUGCACACUCGCAUCGGGAGCGCGGCGCGUCCACAGCCGUUAAACACCCAACUUCUGAAAUGUUGACCUCGGAUCAGGUAGGAAUACCCGCUGAACUUAAGCAUAUCAAUAAGCGGAGG